GACGAACGCUGGCGGCGUGCCUAACACAUGCAAGUCGAGCGGACACUCCGGGGUUUUGGGCGGACGGCGGGGGAAGGCGUGGGGAGAUGCACUUGUCUACGGAAUAGUUCUGGGAAAGUGAGGGUAAUGCCACAUAGGCUCUUAGGGGGAAAGAUUUAUUGGGGCAGGAUUAGCGCGCGUUGGAUUCGGUGGUUGGGGGGGUAAUGGCCUGACAAGCGGACGAUCCUUAGCUGGUUUGAGAGGAUGAUUAGCCACACUAGGACGCGGACACGGCCCAGACUCCUACGGGAGGGAGCAGUGGGUAAUCUUAGACAAUGGGGGCAACGCUGAUCUAGCCAUGCCGGGUGAGUGAUGAAGGCCGUAGGGUUGUAAUGUUCUUUCAGCUGUGAAGAUAAUGACGGUACCAGCAGAAGAAGCCCCGGCUAACUACGUG
Molecule: ribosomal RNA, 433 nt
Filed under: uncultured bacterium
Lineage: Bacteria
Description: partial 16S ribosomal RNA
Rfam family: Bacterial small subunit ribosomal RNA
Source: RNAcentral